GCAUGGCUAUUCCUGCCCAAACCUCUUGAGUACUGAAAAUUCCAUAAUUGUCAUCUGAUCUGAGAAGUUAAGCAGGGUCAGGUCUGGUUAGUAAUGGGAUGGGAGAGUGCCUGGCAAUACUGGAUGCUGUAGGCU
Molecule: ribosomal RNA, 135 nt
Filed under: Castor canadensis (American beaver)
Lineage: Eukaryota; Metazoa; Chordata; Mammalia; Rodentia; Castoridae
Source: RNAcentral